AUAAGGGUUUUUUACAGGCUCAGGAUGAACGCUGGCGGCGUGCCUAAUACAUGCAAGUCGAAGCGAACUGAUUAGAAGCUUGCUUCUAUGACGUUAGCGGCGGACGGGUGAGUAACACGUGGAGCAACCUGCCUGUAAGACUGGGAUAACUCCGGGAAACCGGAGCUAAUACCGGAUAACAUUAUUCUCUUGCAUAAGAGAAAAUUGAAAGAUGGUUUCGGCUAUCACUUACAGAUGGGCCCGCAGGUGCAUUAGCUAGUUGGUGAGGUAACGGCUCACCAAGGCAACGAUGCAUAGCCGACCUGAAGAGGGUGAUCGGCCACACUGGGACUGAGACACGGCCCAGACUCCUACGGGAGGCAGCAGAUAGGGAAUCUUCCGCAAUGGACGAAAGUCUGACGGAGCAACGCCGCGUGAGUGAUGAAGGACUUUCGGGUCGUAAAACUCUGUUGUUAGGGAAGAACAAGUACAAGAGUAACUGCUUGUACACUUGACGGUACCUAACCAGAAAGCCACGGCUAACUACGUGCCAGCAGCCGCGGUAAUACGAGGGGACCGGUAUCGGCAUUAUUGGGCGAAAGCGCGCGCAGGCGGUUUCUUAAGUAGGUGGCAAGCGUUAUCCGGAAUUAUUGGGCGUAAAGCGCGCGCAGGCGGUUUCUUAAGAUCUGAUGUGAAAGCCCACGGCUCACCCGUGGAGGGUCAUUGGAAACUGGGGAACUUGAGUUCUGAUGUGAAAGCCCACGGCUCAACCGUGGAGGGUCAUUGGAAACUGGGGAACUUGAGUAGCAGAAGAGAAAAGAGGAAUUCCACGUGUAGCGGUGAAAUGCGUAGAGAUGUGGAGGAACGCAGAAGAGAAAAGCGGAAUUCCACGUGUAGCGGUGAAAUGCGUAGAGAUGUGGAGGAACAACCAGUGGCGAAGGCGGCUUUUUGGUCUGUAACUGACGCUGAGGCGCGAAAGCGUGGACCAGUGGCGAAGGCGGCUUUUUGGUCUGUAACUGACGCUGAGCGCGAAAUGAACGUCGAGGAGCAAACAGGAUUAGAUACCCUGGUAGUCCACGCCGUAAACGAUGAGUGCUAAGUGUUAAGAGGGUUUCCGCCCUUUAGUGCUGCAGCUAACGCAUUAAGCACUCCGCCUGGGGAGUACAGGUCGCAAGACUGAAACUCAAAGGAAUUGACGGGGGCCCGCACAAGCGGUGGAGCAUGUGAGUUUAAUUCGAAGCAACGCGAAGAACCUUACCAGGUCUUGACAUCCUCUGACAACUCUAGAAGAUAGAGCGUUCCCCUUCGGGGGACAGAGUGACAGGUGGUGCAUGGUUGUCGUCAGCUCAGUGUCGUGAGAUGUUGGGUUAAGUCCCGCAACGAGCGCAACCCUUGAUCUUAGUUGCCAGACAUUAAGUUGGGCACUCUAAGGUGACUGCCGGUGACAAACCGGAGGAAGGUGGGGAUGACAGUCAAAUCAUCAUGCCCCUUAUGACCUGGGCUACACACGUGCUACAAUGGAUGGUACAAAAGGGCUGCAAGACCGCGAGGUCAAGCCAAUCCCAUAAAACCAUUCUCAGUUCGGAUUGUAGAGCUGCAACUCGCCUACAUGAAGCUGGAAUCGCUAGUAAUCGCGGAUCAGCAUGCCGCGGUAGGGAAUACGUUCCCGGGGCCUUGUACACACCGCCCGUCACACCACGAGAGUUUGUAACACACCGAAGUCGGUGGGGUAACCUUUAUGGAGCCAGCCGCCUAAGGUGGGACAGAUGAUUGGGAGUGAAUCUAAGGGGGGGGGCGCCGAUAAAGGGGGGGGGUA
Molecule: ribosomal RNA, 1795 nt
Filed under: Bacillus sp. CNK-10-7
Lineage: Bacteria; Bacillati; Bacillota; Bacilli; Caryophanales; Bacillaceae
Description: bacterial SSU rRNA
Rfam family: Bacterial small subunit ribosomal RNA
Source: RNAcentral